CUAAAGAAAAAAAAGUUACCUGCGCUCUCUCCUUAAUCCCUAUGUAUAUUUAAACAAAUGGAGGUCAAAUAAAUGUAAAUAUACAUAGGGAUUAAGAAGAGAGUGCAGGUAACUUUUUUUCUUUGG
Pelobates cultripes (western spadefoot toad) is the source of this 126-nucleotide non-coding RNA. NCBI's taxonomy places the organism in Eukaryota, Metazoa, Chordata, Amphibia, Anura, Pelobatidae. The record is from the annotation of a GenBank genome assembly.